ACAGGAUUAGAUACCCUGGUAGUCCACGCCGUAAACGAUGUCGACUUGGAGGCUGUUCCCUUGAGGAGUGGCUUCCGGAGCUAACGCGUUAAGUCGACCGCCUGGGGAGUACGGCCGCAAGGUUAAAACUCAAAUGAAUUGACGGGGGCCCGCACAAGCGGUGGAGCAUGUGGUUUAAUUCGAUGCAACGCGAAGAACCUUACCUACUCUUGACAUCCAGAGAACUUUCCAGAGAUGGAUUGGUGCCUUCGGGAACUCUGAGACAGGUGCUGCAUGGCUGUCGUCAGCUCGUGUUGUGAAAUGUUGGGUUAAGUCCCGCAACGAGCGCAACCCUUAUCCUUUGUUGCCAGCGAUUCGGUCGUGAACUCAAAGGAGACUGCCGGUGAUAAACCGGAGGAAGGUGGGGAUGACGUCAAGUCAUCAUGGCCCUUACGAGUAGGGCUACACACGUGCUACAAUGGCGCAUACAAAGAGAAGCGACCUCGCGAGAGCAAGCGGACCUCAUAAAGUGCGUCGUAGUCCGGAUCGGAGUCUGCAACUCGACUCCGUGAAGUCGGAAUCGCUAGUAAUCGUGGAUCAGAAUGCCACGGUGAAUACGUUCCCGGGCCUUGUACACACCGCCCGUCACACCAUGGGAGUGGGUUGCAAAAGAAGUAGGUAGCUUAACCUUCGGGAGGGCGCUUACCACUUUGUGAUUCAUGACUGGGGUGAAGUCGUAACAAGGUAGCAUCU
This 732-nucleotide ribosomal RNA is filed under the name uncultured bacterium. RNAcentral's name for it is "bacterial SSU rRNA". It matches the Rfam family "Bacterial small subunit ribosomal RNA", at positions 772 to 1504 of the family's 1533-position model. The record is from RNAcentral.